UAACACGCGAUGAAGAGAAGAGUACAUACAUCCCUUUCCUCACAGAAAGCCUGUAGUUGCUGAGAACGGGUAGGAGAGCUGUAUGGAAGCAAGACUCUGAGCGGCACAUCGGAACAACCCUACGCCGGCCGGCAAGCAUUUAAUCCAAAGGUUGGGAUGGUGUGACAGGAGCUCCUGUUAUUGAGCAAUGUAUAGGCUCACUAUACACAUGAGGUUCAUAUCGUGAUAUAUGGACGAACUGGGGUGGCACCACGACAAGUGAUCGUCCCCAAG
RNAcentral lists this non-coding RNA (273 nucleotides) under Halalkalibacterium halodurans. RNAcentral describes it as "Bacillus halodurans T-box sequence". It matches the Rfam family "T-box leader". From Rfam's summary of the family: Uncharged tRNA acts as the effector for transcription antitermination of genes in the T-box leader family. T-boxes are found upstream of many aminoacyl-tRNA synthetase genes and some amino acid biosynthetic genes usually in Gram-positive bacteria. The record is from RNAcentral. Lineage: Bacteria; Bacillati; Bacillota; Bacilli; Caryophanales; Bacillaceae.